Molecule: ribosomal RNA, 497 nt
Filed under: uncultured bacterium
Lineage: Bacteria
Description: partial 16S ribosomal RNA
Rfam family: Bacterial small subunit ribosomal RNA
Source: RNAcentral
AGUGAACGCUGGCGGCAGGCCUAAUACAUGCAAGUCGAACGGACAGACAAUGAGCUUGCUCCUCUGACGUUAGCGGCGGACGGGUGGGUGACACGUGCAUCACCUACUUAUAAUACUGGGAGGACUACGGAAAACCGGAGAUGAUACCGGCGCAUAUGUUGAACGGCUUAGUUCAAUAGUGAUAGACAGUUUGCCUGUCACUUAUAGAUGGAUCCGCGCCGCAUUAGCUAGUUGGUAAGGUAACGGCUUACCAAGGCAACGAUGCGUAGCCGAUCUGAGAGGGUGAUCGGCCACACUGGAACUGAGACACGGUCCAGACUCCUACGGGAGGCAGCAGUAGGGAAUCUUCCGCAAUGGGCGCAAGCCUGACGGAGCCACGCCGCGUGAGUGAUGAAGGUCUUCGGAUUGUAAAACUCUGUUAUUAGGGAAGAACAAAUGUGUAAUUAUCUAUGCCCGUCUUGACGGUACCCAAUCAGAAAGCCACGGCUAACUACGUG